AAAUCAAGACAGAAACAUGGUCAGUGGUUAUGUAAUGAAGCCCAGAUAAAAGAGAACACACUGCGUGGAAAAAACGAAGAGGUAAUAAGUAAAUAUGUUGACAUUCGUCAUUCAUGGAAAGAGAUAAAUCAGAGAGGACAGGACAUGAAGCAGAAAGAAUUGGUGACUUACAAACUGCAAUAACGGUGAAAGCAUAGCCACUAACACCAAAUGAUUGGUCGCUCACAUUUGAAAUAGAUCCAAGGCAGGCACCAGCAAGAAGUAAGAUCAAAUAAUCUAUAACUUGUAUUUUCGAGUCACGUAAUCGCUGCUUACCAAUUCUGAAAAUUCAUGGUUAUGAAAGAGACAAUUUGUCAGCAAUUAAUGAUAAGAGAUCAUGAAAAUAUACAAAGGUGUAAAGCUCUGAGAACUGGAACAUAAAGACUUGCUUGACACAACAUAUCUCAAGAUCAUUUUUGUUGAAGAUUUCUAAUUGAUAGUUGUAAAUUGUUAUAUUUCUUUUCAAAAAUUGGAAGGAAUGUGAAAGAUAAAUGUAAUGUACCUCCCAAGAAAGUAUCUGUACUGUUUUAAUAUGCCUGGAGUUUUUCGAUGGGACAGAUCUUUGUUCUUCAAAUGCAUUCUUAAUUUGUCAUGAUGCUCCUCAACAUUACUUCUCAUGCCCUGCCAUAACUCCCCAGCAAAAGAAGGUUGUCGCUCGCCAAGAACACGGUUUCUUGUUCCAUUAGUUUGCUCCAUGUCUGCCGUGCUUGUAGAGUGUCUGACUGACUUCUGUCGCAAAUCUUCUGGCACUGGGUAACCAUUAUGAAGCAACCAUCUAACAGGGAGCUCUUCAUAGCUAAUAUCUGCAUUAGGAGUCACUAUACCCUCCAAAAUAUCAAUGAAGUGAUCUGGAGGGGUAACACGCUCUGGGACAUUGAUUCCAAGGCCAGAAAAGUAUUCUUCAACUCUCCUUGCUGGUCCAUGAUAAACCGUAAAACCGCCUUUUGCAAGAAGAACCAAAUCGUCGAACAUUUUGAAUAAGGUGUAGCUGAAACGAAAAAUUGCACAUUAGUAAACAAGAGACAUAAUCAAACAGGCAACCAAGCUAAAAAGAUAAAAGAAUGGAUUUUUGCAUAUGUAUGGUUGGAAAAGUUACCUUGGUUGAUGAACCACCAUGCAGAUGGUCACACCUUCAAGAGCUUCUCUCCUGAGUGCUCUAAGAAGCAGUUGGGAAGAAGAGCUGUCCAAACCAGAUGUUGGCUCAUCUAACAGCAAAACUGAAGGCUCUAUCACCAUUUCUAAUCCAACAUUCACCCUCUUCCUUUGACCUCCAGAGAUUCCUCUCUUUUCCACUGUCCCGACCAAGGAGUUUCGCACAGUCUGGAGCCCCAAGAACUCAAUAACUCUUUCAACAAUUAGAACUUUAUCUGCUUUGGAUAAGUCCACAGAAAGCCUAUGACAGUAGGUAGUCCAUUAUCAAAUUGCUUACAGAUAGUAAGGAAUCUCAGCAUAAGCAACCAAAAUAAUACAACCAGACAAGUAGAUAUACAACUCUAGAAAAUAAGUUUGUCAAUACUUCUUGGAUGAAAUAGUCAGUCUUGAACAUAAAACAAUAUAAGUAAAUUUCAAUUUCUGAGACUUCAUAUCUUUUUCUUCACUGCAGAAUGUAAUCAAAUUAAAUGUUGGUAUGCGCCUAUUUAAAUGUGUGUGUCUAGCUGCUAACUAAAUAUGCACCAGAGGAAGCUUAUGCCAGAAAUUAGCUCAAGUCAGACCAUACAUCAAUUUCCCAUAUCAAGUUGUCACUUUAUCUCUCAAUUGUUUAUCUCGCGCUUUCGAGAAGGUUUCUGAAUUCCUCAACGGUUUUCUCAGAGGGAACUUGACAUAUUCCUCAUUACAUAGUAUAAAAUCUUAGCUUAUUUGUUCAUCCAAAUGUGAUGUCCUUUAGUACCAUCUAUAACUCAAGCUAAUAGCACAUGAUGAUCAUCAUUUAUAGUUAUAACCCUGAUUUAAGAUGUCAGAGAAUCAGUGAACUGCACACAGACACAAGGAACUCUAAUGACUAAUUUCUUUGAGAUGAGUGAAAUUCCCUUGAAUAGUUCAUGUUAAUGCACUGAGAGAAAGAUACUUCAAGCUUGAAUAACAAAGGAAACUAAUUAUGCAAUCCAGAAAAUCGAAGUUUAAAUCUUGUGGUCAACCACAGUCAAGAUGGUCAGAACAGUUACAAGUUAAAGCAUUAAAUAAAAUAAAUUUCAAGUAGAUAAAGAACUAAACAAAGAAGAAAAGUUCAAAUACCUGCAGUUUGCACUGAACCAUAGAUUCUCUUCCACUGUCAAGUUCCCGUGUACGAUAUCAUCUUGAGGCACAAAACCCAUAAUUCUUUUAUAGGACAGAAUCGAUUCAUUCUUUCCAUUUAUUAGAAUAGAACCUGUAGUCUUGCAUCCAAUUGCUUUUCCAGCCAAAGCAGAAAGAAAUGUUGUUUUUCCAGCCCCAGAUGGGCCCAUGACAGCAGUAAUCCGACCAGGCUUAAUAUUUCCAGUGACACACCUCAACAGAUGCUUGUUUUUUGCUUUCAAAGUAAGAUUUAAAUCUUUAAAAGAAACUUCAAUAGGAGGGCGCCUUUUAUUCUCAGGAUUAGUUGCCAUUUUAAUUACACCAGAGAAAGUAAGAUUUUGAUCCUCUUGCUGCUGAGCUUUUUCUUUCUCAAGUUGCACAUAAGCAUACUUAAAAAUCUGGCUGUGAGUGCUUGAACGUUUUCCCUUUGGGAUAUGUUUCUCAACACCAUCACCACCAGAUUCAAAAUGAUGGCCUGCAUGACCAUUCGGGUCUUUUUCAGUUUCAUGUGUUAUCUCCAUGAGAUCAAUCUGGUUAUCUUUUCUUCCUUCUAUAUGAUCAGACGAAGCCAUUGACGUGGUUGGGAUAUGUGAAUGUGAAGUCGAUAAAUCAUCAUCUGUUACAGAUUCGGAUUGAUCCAAAAUCUUGAAUUUUUCUGUACCUGAGUUCUUCACACGUGAGAACUUUCGUGAUAGUUGAACUUGCAAACCACUAGCAUGCUUCUUUGCAGCAUCUUUUGCAGCUUUCCACCUUUGUUGUGCUUUGGCUGUUGCUCUAGCACUUUUUGCUGCUGCCUCCCUUGACUUGGCAAGUCUCCUUUCUCUAGCAGCAAGAACUUGGUCGGAGAAAUUGUAAAUUAUGAGAAGCAAAGUGCUCAAAGCCACCUGCAUAAGCAAAUAAAAGAGCCGGCUCUUAUCCCUCAUAUUACCUUACUCUUACUAGAGUUGAUACAAGACUUCUCUAUUUUCAGAAUUAUCGAUGGAACGCAAGAAAAUAACACUUGAAGACUUAAAUGAAAAGAAAAGGUUGAGCGAAAAUAUAUAACGACGCUUGAUUGGCAAUCUAGAGAUUCAGAUUUUGACUUGGAUAGAUGACUUACCAAAAGCAUUACUCCAUAAGCGUGAAUAUUUUGAUUUGAGGAGUUUGCAUCACAUGAAGUAAGCUUGAAACAUCCUGCAAGAUGUCCAUAGUAGAAUAGCUAAAUAUCAAUAAUAUGUCAAAAGAACAUCUAUAUUCCUUAGACAUCUGUUGGAAGUAUAUGAAAUUCAGCAAAAACACUUACUAUUCUGAGAAGUUGAACCCAUUCUGCAGUAAUUUCUGAAAUAACAGCAAAAUAGAUAGAUAUGAUUAGAAAGCUAGAUAUUCUUUGCCCUCUUACCUAAGAACGGUGAUUAAAUAGUACAGUUUGAACCAAGAAACAUUGGUUUACAACAAAGCAGUGGUUAGAUAUAGGUCAAUACCCAGUAUCACAAGGAAGUUUUUCGGUGCUUGUUGGACAAAAUGAUCCCUCUGAACAAAACAUUUCACUACUACGAUCAACAUCAGCCCACAUAUUUGCUCCUCCACAGGUAUGGUUGGGCCGCCCCGGCGGUAGUUGGUAAAGGUAUCUGCAAAACCAAGAAAAUGAAUAACUUCAUUGAGACUUUAUGCUGAAGACCAUACACAAGUGACAUACAGAGUUAAGUUUUGUACUUACGGUUCACAUACUCCAGUUGUUGCAUUUAACUUAGCAAGAGGACAAUAGGAUCCUAAAGGACAUGCUGGCAGAUGCAAUAAUACAAGAUGAAAACAUUGUUAGAAUGUGAGAGACUUCGUGCACGGCCAAGGGGAGAAGCAUAAGAUCACAAAUCAGCAACUUAUAAGGGUACAAAACAAGCUUAUAAAAGUUCAAAAUUUACAAAAGGCAAUGAAAAUGAUGAAAUUUCUAUAUAUUCAAUAUGCAUUAACAAAACACUUCAACGACUCCACAGUAAUAUAUGUAGAUUAUACAGUCAAAUGGUUAAUAGGAAGCAGUUAUAGAUCAAAAUACUUACGUAUCAUGCAUGUAAGACCCUGAGGACAAAAGAAACCCUCACAACAAGCUUGGCAAUCUUGCACUCUUGAAGGAAUUUGCUGGGAAUUACUAAGGUCAACGUGCUGAUCAGGACCCACACUACAUGCCCAUCCUGGCUCACAACCAGAAGCCCAUGAUGUCAAAUUGCAAUUCUUGUUGAGUUUCAAGAAGGAACCGCUUGCAGGAUUUUGAAGAAUGAUACUAUCAAAGUAAAAGUUGACUUCUGCUGCAGUACACAGACGCUUUGUGAAAUCUCCUGUCGCAAAACCAACACAAGAUAGAAAUCAACACCAUGUGACUGAAGGUAACUAUUACAAAAAUGGAAGAGUUUUCUUUUUUAUUUUUCUUCUUUCUCCUUAAGGAUUACUCAUACCAUUGGUCUUCUGAAAGCAAGAAGACAAGAACUCCAGAUUAGAAUAGUUAAAGGCUCUAUUCCAAUCAGCAUCCCUAAAAAGCCAUCAAACCAUCAAAGUUUCAGACUGAAUGAAAAUCUAAGGAAAAUGUAAAAGGAUAUUAGAACACUUCAAAACUAAGAAUCAUUAAGCUAAAACAAAAAAAGGCGCCAAGCUCAAGAUUUCAUAAUUGAACUUCAUAUCACAUCUCAGAAAUCCAGAAAUAAGUAAAGUGCCAACCAAGAUUCCACAUCCAUUCCAUUUCUCUCAAAUUCUCAACAGCCAAACAGAGCAAAAAUUUGAAAGUACAAGGAUUAAAAAAAAAACUCACGUGUCCCUGGAGCAAAAACGGAAGCGGGUACUGAGUUCUGUGUUAAUGGUUGAACUCAAAUUGGAGAGCUGACCAUUGGCAAUCGACAAGAUAAAUGGA
RNAcentral lists this long non-coding RNA (5185 nucleotides) under Cucumis sativus (cucumber). RNAcentral describes it as "long non-coding RNA (CSAT_LNC002435)". Lineage: Eukaryota; Viridiplantae; Streptophyta; Magnoliopsida; Cucurbitales; Cucurbitaceae. The record is from RNAcentral.